GAUGAACGCUGACGGAAUGCUUAACACAUCAGCGACUGAUUGGUGUCGGACGGGUGAGGAACGCGUAAAGAACUUGCCUCGCAUGUAGUAACAACAUUUGGAAACGAAUGCUUAUACCUAGUACUGUGAGAGAGCUUGGCUUACCGUUAGCUAGUUGGACAGUGAACGGCUCACCAAGGCGAUGAUGGGUAGCCGGACUGAGAGGGUGAUAGGCCACAAGGGGACACAGUCACGGCCCUUACGCCUACGGGAGGAAGCAGUGGGGAACAUUCGAAACAGGGCCAAAGUCUGAUCCAGCUAUUCUGUGUGUAAGAUGAUGUUUUAGGAAUGUAAAGUGCCGUUAGUUGGGAAGCGGUACCAACAGAAGAAGUGACGGCUAAAUACGUGCCAGCAGCCGCGGUAAUAC
This 406-nucleotide ribosomal RNA is filed under the name uncultured bacterium. RNAcentral describes it as "partial 16S ribosomal RNA". It matches the Rfam family "Bacterial small subunit ribosomal RNA", at positions 28 to 526 of the family's 1533-position model. The record is from RNAcentral.